This 426-nucleotide ribosomal RNA is filed under the name uncultured bacterium. RNAcentral's name for it is "partial 16S ribosomal RNA". It matches the Rfam family "Bacterial small subunit ribosomal RNA", at positions 354 to 796 of the family's 1533-position model. The record is from RNAcentral.
GUGGGGGAUAUUGCGCAAUGGGGGCAACCCUGACGCAGCAACGCCGCGUGAAGGAUGAAGGUUUUCGGAUUGUAAACUUCUUUUAUUAAGGACGAAAAAUGACGGUACUUAAUGAAUAAGCUCCGGCUAACUACGUGCCAGCAGCCGCGGUAAUACGUAGGGAGCAAGCGUUGUCCGGAUUUACUGGGUGUAAAGGGUGCGUAGGCGGCUUUGCAAGUCAGAUGUGAAAUCUAUGGGCUCAACCCAUAAACUGCAUUUGAAACUGUAGAGCUUGAGUGAAGUAGAGGCAGGCGGAAUUCCCCGUGUAGCGGUGAAAUGCGUAGAGAUGGGGAGGAACACCAGUGGCGAAGGCGGCCUGCUGGGCUUUAACUGACGCUGAGGCACGAAAGCGUGGGUAGCAAACAGGAUUAGAUACCCGAGUAGUCC